This 487-nucleotide ribosomal RNA is filed under the name uncultured Gammaproteobacteria bacterium. Its description in RNAcentral is "bacterial SSU rRNA". The stretch from base 60 to 487 matches the Rfam family "Bacterial small subunit ribosomal RNA", at positions 1 to 446 of the family's 1533-position model. The record is from RNAcentral. Lineage: Bacteria; Pseudomonadati; Pseudomonadota; Gammaproteobacteria.
CAUCCAACGCGUUGGGAGCUCUCCCAUAUGGUCGACCUGCAGGCGGCCGCGAAUUCACUAGUGAUUAGAGUUUGAUCAUGGCUCAGAUUGAACGCUGGCGGCAGGCCUAACACAUGCAAGUCGAGCGGUAGAGAGAAGCUUGCUUCUCUUGAGAGCGGCGGACGGGUGAGUAAUGCCUAGGAAUCUGCCUGGUAGUGGGGGAUAACGUUCGGAAACGGACGCUAAUACCGCAUACGUCCUACGGGAGAAAGCAGGGGACCUUCGGGCCUUGCGCUAUCAGAUGAGCCUAGGUCGGAUUAGCUAGUUGGUGGGGUAAUGGCUCACCAAGGCGACGAUCCGUAACUGGUCUGAGAGGAUGAUCAGUCACACUGGAACUGAGACACGGUCCAGACUCCUACGGGAGGCAGCAGUGGGGAAUAUUGGACAAUGGGCGAAAGCCUGAUCAAUCGAAUUCCCGCGGCCGCCAUGGCGGCCGGGAGCAUGCGAC